GACGAACGCUGGCGGCGUGCCUAAUACAUGCCAGUAGAACGCACAGUUUAUACCGUAGCUUGCUACACCAUAGACUGUGAGUUGCGAACGGGUGAGUAACGCGUAGGUAACCUGCCUGGUAGCGGGGGAUAACUAUUGGAAACGAUAGCUAAUACCGCAUAAUAUUAAUUAUUGCAUGAUAAUUGAUUGAAAGAUGCAACUGCAUCACUACCAGAUGGACCUGCGUUGUAUUAGCUAGUAGGUGAGGUAACGGCUCACCUAGGCGACGAUACAUAGCCGACCUGAGAGGGUGAUCGGCCACACUGGGACUGAGACACGGCCCAGACGCCUACGGGAGGCAGCAGAAGGGAAUCUUCGGCAAUGGACGAAAGUCUGACCGAGAAACGCCGCGUGAGUGAAGAAGGGUUUCGGAUCGUAAAGCUCGGUUGUAAGAGAAGAACGGGUGUGAGAGUGGAAAGUUCACACUGUGACGGUAUCUUACCAGAAAGGGACGGCUAACUACGUG
Molecule: ribosomal RNA, 505 nt
Filed under: uncultured bacterium
Lineage: Bacteria
Description: partial 16S ribosomal RNA
Rfam family: Bacterial small subunit ribosomal RNA
Source: RNAcentral